Molecule: long non-coding RNA, 159 nt
Organism: Bufo bufo (common toad)
Lineage: Eukaryota; Metazoa; Chordata; Amphibia; Anura; Bufonidae
Exons: 3
Source: RefSeq, a predicted model, not a curated record
AUCAGCUUCCCUGAUCUUGUCCCUCCUUGGUGAGAAAGGAUACGCUACUGCUGUCGUGUUGUCGGAAAGGACCUUCACAUGUAGGCCCUCGAGUAGAUCUUCUGCUGCUUUUAACAUUUCCCAAACCGCUUUCAGCUCUCCGAAGUUGGAGGAUUGAGA